UGGGGAAUAUUGGACAAUGGGCGAAAGCCUGAUCCAGCCAUGCCGCGUGUGUGAAGAAGGUCUUCGGAUUGUAAAGCACUUUAAGCUGGGAGGAAGGGCAGUAAGCGAAUACCUUGCUGUUUUGACGUUACCGACAGAAUAAGCACCGGCUAACUCUGUGCCAGCAGCCGCGGUAAUACAGAGGGUGCAAGCGUUAAUCGGAAUUACUGGGCGUAAAGCGCGCGUAGGUGGUUCGUUAAGUUGAAUGUGAAAGCCCCGGGCUCAACCUGGGAACUGCAUCCAAAACUGGCGAGCUAGGGUAGGGCAGAGGGUGGUAGAAUUUCCUGUGUAGCGGUGAAAUGCGUAGAUAUAGGAAGGAACACCAGUGGCGAAGGCGACCACCUGGGCUCAUACUGACACUGAAGUGCGAAAGCGUGGGGAGCAAACAGG
Molecule: ribosomal RNA, 429 nt
Filed under: Pseudomonadota bacterium
Lineage: Bacteria; Pseudomonadati; Pseudomonadota
Description: Proteobacteria bacterium partial 16S ribosomal RNA
Rfam family: Bacterial small subunit ribosomal RNA
Source: RNAcentral